UACGGAGGGUGCAAGCGUUAUCCGGAUUUACUGGGUUUAAAGGGUGCGUAGGCGGGCUUUUAAGUCAGUGGUGAAAUCUCCGGGCUCAACCCGGAAAUUGCCAUUGAUACUAUUAGUCUUGAAUUAAGUUGAGGUGGGCGGAAUGUGUCAUGUAGCGGUGAAAUGCUUAGAUAUGACACAGAACACCGAUUGCGAAGGCAGCUCGCUAAACUUAUAUUGACGCUGAGGCACGAAAGCGUGGGGAUCAAAUAGG
RNAcentral lists this ribosomal RNA (253 nucleotides) under uncultured bacterium. RNAcentral describes it as "partial 16S ribosomal RNA". It matches the Rfam family "Bacterial small subunit ribosomal RNA", at positions 524 to 776 of the family's 1533-position model. The record is from RNAcentral.